GCAUCCAUGGCUGAAUGGUGAAAGCGCCCACGAACCUAGAAAGGCCAAAUGGGUCAAAAAGUAGGUUCGAUUCCUGCCGGAUGCA
RNAcentral lists this transfer RNA (85 nucleotides) under Hordeum vulgare. Its description in RNAcentral is "tRNA-Phe". It matches the Rfam family "tRNA". Rfam says of the family: Transfer RNA (tRNA) molecules are approximately 80 nucleotides in length. The record is from RNAcentral. Lineage: Eukaryota; Viridiplantae; Streptophyta; Magnoliopsida; Poales; Poaceae.